This 3102-nucleotide long non-coding RNA is filed under the name Podarcis lilfordi (Lilford's wall lizard). The record is from RNAcentral. Lineage: Eukaryota; Metazoa; Chordata; Lepidosauria; Squamata; Lacertidae.
GUGGAGAGGUACUCCUGGCAUUUUCUCAUGGGCGCUGCUGUGAGAAUAUGUGCCAGGCUGCUAGGUUUUGUAGUCCUGCAUGAAGCCACACAGCUUGACAGCUCUGCAAAAUUAACCCCUGAGGAAACACACUCAAAGUCUCCAUUGCCUAUUUAAUCCUAGGAUUGGCCCUCAGUUCUGGCUCCUUAGUUCUCUGUCAACCAGGACAUUAAAAGCAUUUCUGGUCUCCCUCUACCAACAGAAGGUCCACAUCACCCUGGGCCAAGCGUGGGCAGAGGAGGAAGGGCGUUGUGGCCUGAUAGAGUAUGGUCCCACUUGCUCCAGGUUGAACACAUGGGGAAGGGAGAAUAGGAAGCACGUCCUUGGCUUGGCUUGGGUGCAAGACAUGUUGCUUCUUACUCUCAUAAGGCCGACUGCCGCUUUGGCUCAGCUGCCGUCAACAACAAGCGAUUUUGCUGCGCGUUCGGGUGGUAGCCCCAGUGGUUCAGCCAGGCUUGUGUUGUUGUGGCGGGGUUUGUGUGUUGAAAGCCUCUUCGUGCUCAAAGCCAGCCCAGGAAGGCCCCCUUCUGCGUGCUGGUGGGCUGCCCAUACCGGCAAGCUACAGGGACUUGUUUCCUGAGUUGGUUUUGCCCUUGUAGGGGAGUCUUGCCUCAGGCAAUGUUUCCGACAUUUUCCUGGCCACCGUGAUGCAAAGACUCUGUCCCUGGGAUUGCCUCUUCACCAUUGAGAAAGGGAGCCAUUCUUGAGGCUUCAUCUUUCUUGGCCAUUCUGGAAAUUGAGCACACCAAGGCCCAAACUUUUUUUAUGUAAGGUUUUCUGUUUGUCUGAUAGCUUUGCCGUUCUCUUUAGGCUGCAAACGAAAUGAGUCUUGUACAGUAACGUUGAGAUGAGCACACACAGUAAAUUUUUCCUCACGAAAAUCUUUUUUUUUAAAAAAAAAUAUUACUACAAUAUAAUCUUUAAAGAAAGCAAUGGAUGUGUUCUUGUGUCAUCACCAAAGUUCUCGUUCCAAAAAGAAGGAAAGAGUGCUCAGGUUUGUCCUCACAGAUCACAGUUUCUCCUGAACGUAAUAUGUUGAUCUAUACAUUAUUGCCAUGUCCCUUGUUUCUGAAAUAAACAUUCUGACAGGGAGGGUGGAGUGGAACCAUCGUGUGGUGACCAUUUUGACAUCCACAUUCUCUACCUAUCCUUCCGCGUGCUUUAGAAGUGUUUUUUAUCUUGUUGAACUGUUACGUGCUUUAACACCAAAAGCUUUCCUCCCAUGAUAUUUAUUUUAUUUCUAUGCCACUUUUCAGGCACGCCUCGUGAAGUGGUUUACGUAGAAAUAUUGGAAGAAUAGAGAUUAAGUAAAACCAUGUAUUAAAACUGCGGAGCCAAGCGAGAAGGCUAUGUGUGUGUGUGGUGGGAACUCUUUGAAAAGCAGAAUUCUCCUCCCCUCAGGGAAAGAUGGUCCCAGAGUAGCCUUGUGGUGAUGGUUGGGGCAAGGAGAAGCCACCUCAGCUGAGUCGCUGGAAGGUGAAGAGUUGGCAACUCAUUCAAGCAAUUCUUCUGUUUUCUCUUUACCCUUCUUCCCUCAGCGCAAGAUGCCCCAACCCCUGUGGUGUUUUUUAGGAGAGAGGGAGGCCGCCUCAGGUGGAAGCUCUGCAGCUCAGCCGCAGAACAUUUGCCCUGCAAGCAGAGCAAAUUUGGGGUCAAUCCCUGGCAUCUUCUCAUAGCGUUGGGAGAGACAACCAUCUGAAAGCCUCGAGAGCCUCUUCUGGUGCAUGUAGACAAUAUUGCGCCAGGUGGACCCAGUGGUCUGGCUUGCUUUGAACACUAGUAGUUUUCCAGCCUAACUCUAUGGUCCUCAACAUGGUGCCCAUGGGCAUUUUGGUGUCCUUCGUUGCUGGCCAACAAGGCUCCCCUGCUUCUUUCUGCAAAGCGUGUUCUCCUUCAUGGAGAGCACAUGUUGCGGUGGGGUCUAGCAAGUCAUCCCUCUGUUGCUGGGCGGGUAAGAUUAGAUGGCCACGUUUGCGAUUGGGCUCCUCUAUGUUGUUGGGGAGAUUUUAAUGUUGCUAUUCCUGAUUGACAGCCUAUUAGCUUUAUAUUCCCUGCACGCAGCGUUGAGCUUCCUCUUUUCGCUCCCCUGCUGCUUUCUGAAAAUUUUUUAUUUUUUAAAUUUAUUUGGGGCUUUGUUUAUUGUUGCUUUUUUUGGGGUGGGGGGAGAUUCCUUUAAUUUUUUUGGCGUGUGUGAUUGCUUUUUUAUUGCCUGUGUUUUUUUUGUUAUAGGAGGAGGUUUAUUUUUAGGGUGUUCCGAGCACUGCCAGUUUUUCUUUUGCAAAAUAGGUAUUUUGUGGAGCCCACAGCAGUUUGUUAGGUUUCCAAAUGUGCCCCUGGAACCCAAAAGGCGUUUCUUCUGAGUCCUGUGACUAUACAGUAUUUGUAAGACCAAUCCUGUAUAUUCAGCUCUUCCAAAAGACCCAUUGCAUGCAGAGGAUCCUACAAAGUCUGGGUUGGGGUGGAAGGAACAAGAAGAUAUCCUAAACUGUAUAGCAUAAAGUAAUAGGACGGCAUUCAGGCUUAUUCACAAAGGCCUAUUUAAGAAAAAAGCCCUUGAAGCAAUUCUUGCAAAAUGUUACCUUUAUUGUUAAUACAUUUUUUUCAAGUGUGUGUGUGUGUGUGAGAGAGAGAGAGAGAGAGAGAGAGCAACAACCCUAUCAGGUAGGUCAGUUAUUGUUUCCAUUUUGCAGAAGAAGACACUGAGGCUGACUUGGAUAGGGCUGCUUAAUUAGUCCAUAGAAACAGUUGACACUAUCCAUUGGAUCAAAUCAGUUAAUGGCUCCGAAGGCAAUCGUAACAGGCUGUUAUUGUUCUUAGCACAAUGCUGAUGGGUAUUCUUUGAAGAUACAUUCAGGAAAGCCACAUCAGACCUGCCUGUUAUUUUGCUCUGCAGACAGACUCGGUUGCAAAACAUAUUUAAAUCAUUUGAGGAGAGACAAGCAGGGUGGGGAAUAUAAAUAUAUAUAAAUGGCCUCGGUCCUGUAUACUUGAAGGAGUGUCUCUUCCCCCAUCGUUCAGCCCGGACUCUGAGAUCCAGCGCUGAGGGCCUUUUGGUGGUUCCCU